GACGUAGGAUGCAAGCGUUGUCCGGAUUUAUUGGGCGUAAAGAGUUCGUAGGUGGUUCGUUAAGUCUGAUGUUAAAGACCGGGGCUCAACCCUGGAAGUGCAUUGGAUACUGGCGGACUUGAGUGUGGUAGAGGCAAUCGGAAUUCCAGGUGUAGCGGUGAAAUGCGUAGAUAUCUGGAAGAACACCGGUGGCGCAAGCGGAUUGCUGGGCCAUAACUGACACUGAGGAACGAAAGCUAGGGGAGCGAAUGGG
RNAcentral lists this ribosomal RNA (253 nucleotides) under uncultured bacterium. Its description in RNAcentral is "partial 16S ribosomal RNA". It matches the Rfam family "Bacterial small subunit ribosomal RNA", at positions 524 to 776 of the family's 1533-position model. The record is from RNAcentral.